CCUAUGGGGGGCAGCAGGCGCGAAAACUUUACAAUGCAGGCAACUGUGAUAAGGGAACCCCGAGUGCCCGUAUGGACGGGCUGUUCAGGUGCUUAAAAACCACCUGGAGAAAGGGCCGGGCAAGACCGGUGCCAGCCGCCGCGGUAAUACCGGCGGCUCGAGUGGUGGCCACUAUUACUGGGCUUAAAGCGUCCGUAGCUUGGUCGUUAAGCCUCUGGGGAAAUCUUCCGGCUCAACCGGAAGGCGUCUCAGGGGAACUGGCGACCUAGGGAUCGGGAGAGGUGAGAGGUACUCUGGGGGUAGGAGUGAAAUCCUGUAAUCCUCAGGGGACCACCUGUGGCGAAGGCGUCUCACCAGAACGACUCCGACAGUGAGGGACGAAAGCUGGGGGAGCAAACCGGAUUAGAUACCCACGUAGUCC
This 421-nucleotide ribosomal RNA is filed under the name uncultured Methanofollis sp. Its description in RNAcentral is "bacterial SSU rRNA". It matches the Rfam family "Archaeal small subunit ribosomal RNA", at positions 322 to 747 of the family's 1478-position model. Lineage: Archaea; Methanobacteriati; Methanobacteriota; Methanomicrobia; Methanomicrobiales; Methanomicrobiaceae. The record is from RNAcentral.